AUUGAACGAUGGCGGCAGGCCUAACACAUGCAAGUCGAGCGGAUGAAGGGAGCUUGCUCCUGGAUUCAGCGGCGGACGGGUGAGUAAUGCCUGGGAAUCUGCCUGGUAGUGGGGGAUAACGUCCGGAAACGGGCGCUAAUACCGCAUACGUCCUGAGGGAGAAAGUGGGGGAUCUUCGGACCUCACGCUAUCAGAUGAGCCUAGGUCGGAUUAGCUAGUUGGUGGGGUAAAGGCCUACCAAGGCGACGAUCCGUAACUGGUCUGAGAGGAUGAUCAGUCACACUGGAACUGAGACACGGCCCAGACUCCUACGGGAGGCAGCAGUGGGGAAUAUUGGACAAUGGGCGAAAGCCUGAUCCAGCCAUGCCGCGUGUGUGAAGAAGGUCUUCGGAUUGUAAAGCACUUUAAGUUGGGAGGAAGGGCAGUAAGUUAAUACCUUGCUGUUUUGACGUUACCAACAGAAUAAGCACCGGCUAACUUCGUG
Molecule: ribosomal RNA, 484 nt
Filed under: uncultured bacterium
Lineage: Bacteria
Description: partial 16S ribosomal RNA
Rfam family: Bacterial small subunit ribosomal RNA
Source: RNAcentral